UCUCACGCAGCAAAUCUUCAUAACCCUUUUUCUCUUUCUUUUCUUCACACAAUUAAUCUGUUGAAGCCAAACUCUCAAGCCCUAACCCUUACCUUUCCCCCAUUGUCCUUCAAAUAAUGUUUGACUUGAUUUCUUGUGAUAAUGAACUUCAAAUUUGAUGAGAAUAAGCUUGUUGUUCAUUUCUAUUUCUUUGGUAAAAUGAAGUGAGUUACAUACAUUGAAAGUGUCGAAGAAAAUGUUCAAAAGUCUUCUAACAAGGUUGAAGCUACUAUGCAUGGAUUAAUGAUUGAGAAAUGUGUUUGGUUUUGGUUGUAUGCACUCAAGAGCAACAUAUUUUCAAGAAAUGUUGCUUUUAUAUUUUUGUAAAUUUUUUUCUAGUUAACUUCUAAUGUAUAUUGCAUGAGAUAUUGAACAUUAUAA
Cannabis sativa is the source of this 420-nucleotide long non-coding RNA. RefSeq lists it as uncharacterized. The transcript has 2 exons. The record is from RefSeq and is a predicted model, not a curated record. Lineage: Eukaryota; Viridiplantae; Streptophyta; Magnoliopsida; Rosales; Cannabaceae.